This 468-nucleotide ribosomal RNA is filed under the name uncultured bacterium. RNAcentral describes it as "partial 16S ribosomal RNA". It matches the Rfam family "Bacterial small subunit ribosomal RNA", at positions 28 to 507 of the family's 1533-position model. The record is from RNAcentral.
GACGAACGCUGGCGGCGUGCUUAACACAUGCAAGUCGAACGGAAAGGCCCUGCGUUUGUGGGGUGCUCGAGUGGCGAACGGGUGAGUAACACGUGUGUAACCUGCCCUUGACUUUGGGAGAACUUCAGGAAACUGGGGCUAAUACCGGGUAGGAGCUCCUGCUGCAUGGUGGGGGUUGGAGAGUUUCGGCGGUUGGGGAUGGACUCGCGGCUUAUCAGCUUGUUGGUGGGGUAGUGGCUUACCAAGGCUUUGACGGGUAGCCGGCCUGAGAGGGUGACCGGCCACAAUGGGCCUGCGGGAGGGACCAGAAUCGAACCGGACGCAGUGGGGGGGAGUAUUGCGGAGUGGGGCGGCGCCUGAUGUGAAGACGCCCGGAGCGGGAUGCCGGGCUUUGAGUUGUGAACCGAUUUCGCAUGUACCGAGCAGUGCGUGACGGUAAUGGGUAAAGAAGCCACGGCUAACUACGUG